RNAcentral lists this long non-coding RNA (6185 nucleotides) under Sus scrofa (pig). Its description in RNAcentral is "lncRNA (ENSSSCG00060004878.1)". The record is from RNAcentral. Lineage: Eukaryota; Metazoa; Chordata; Mammalia; Artiodactyla; Suidae.
AGCCACAGGUCUUAACACUGCAAGGGUGAGAGAGCCAAGUUCAUUCCAUAUCUGCCCUGAGCGAUGGUCUGCAGAAGGUACUUCCGCAAGUAGGAAUUCUUGCCUUCCCCAUUCUAGAUGGGAAGCCAGAUUCCAAGAGGUUGAGUUACUUGCCCAAGUCAGAGACAUCCUGUCAGACCCUGGAUCUCUGGCUGCAAGGCCUGUGCUCUCUACAGCAUCCCUUUGGCCCUGGGGAAACAGAGUGGUCCUGUAGCAGCCCCCUAGCAGUCCCGCCAUCUGAAUAAACAGGCAUGUGAACACUUACAACAGGGGGUUACCACUGUGGCUCAGCGGGUUAUGGACCCAUUGUCACCUCCGUGAGGAUGCAGGUCCAAUCCCUGAUCUUUCUCAGGGAGUUAAGGAUCCAGCACUGCUGCAAGCUUUGGUGUAAGUGGCCAAUAUGGCUUGGAUCUGGUGUUGCCGUAGCUGUGGCGUAGGCUUGCGGCUGCAGCUCUAAUUCAACCCCUAUCCCAGGAAGUUCCAUAUGCCACAGGUGCAGCCAUAAAAAGAAAAAAACAUUAAUUACAAUAGUAAGUGAGGAGCGUGUGAGCAGCUGGGGGCGAAGCUGUGUGGGAGCCAGGCAGAGGGGGUGACUCAGCCUUCACAAGGAGCCAGAGAGGCGUAUGCUGGAGCAGUGGCCAAGGAUGAGCAGAGAUUGGCAAGGGAGGGGGGCAGGAAGGGCAUUCUGGGCAAAGGGGCAGCAGGCACUUGGGGCAGGGCUGAAAGGAAGGAGGUGGCACUACUUCAAUGCAUUUUUUUUUUUUUUGGUUCCUUAAACCAUUCCUGGGGGCAGCCCUUAGGUAGACAUCACUGCCUCCAUUCUAUAGAUUAAGGAACCAGGGCUCUAGAAGGGUGGGUGACUUGCCUAGAGAAGAAGAGGUACCGUGGAGCCAAGACCUGGGCCCUGGUCAGUCCUACUCCAGGGUCCAGCUCCUGCCCUCGGUCUGGAGAGAGCCGAGGUAUGUCUAGACGAUGAGAAACACGCUAUGGGGCCAGCACACGUGCACACAGGAGGUUCAGGUGAAUUUAGGGAGAGAAGGGCACCUGAUUCAACUAGCAAAGGCCUUAUGAGCUGAGCGAAGGGGCUGGGACUAUGCUGAGGUGCUGUGGCUUCUUUCCAGGCUGUGUUGCUCCGCAGGGCGGGCAGUUGUAUGGAGGCCGGCGGGAGAGGGAGCCCGCGUGGAGGCAGGGAGGUCUGUCUGAAGGCAGGUCUGGAGGUCCAGGAACAACGAGCUGUGCCUGACCUGAGGCUGUGGAAGCAGCAGGAGAAUGUGGUACCGCUUGGAGGUUGGAAAUGACGGCACAGCAGGAGUGGAGGCUAACUGGAAAGUUAAGGCUGGAGACAGUGGGUGGGUGGUGUUGACCAUUAAGAAGCCAGGGGCUCAAGGAGGAACAGUCGGUUCCAAGAAGAAAUGGCAGGGAGGGGGGAGACAAGGCCAAUUAAGCUAGAAGGAAGCUUUAGGCCAUCAAGGCUUUCUUAGGCAAGGCAUCAGAGGAAGCCAAGGAAUUGAGUAUAUGACCGUGAAUUAAAUAUAACUUCAGGAGUUUCCGUCAUGGCUCAGUGGUUAACAAAUCUGACUAGGAACCAUGAGGUUGUGGGUUCGAGCCCUGGCCUCAUUCAGUGGGUUAAGGAUCCGGCGUUGCCAUGGGCUGUGGUGUAGGUCCCAGACACAGCUCGGGUCCCACAUUGCUGUGGCUGUGGUAUAGGCUGGUGGCUACAGCUCCGAUUGGACCCCUAGCCUGGGAACCUCCAUACGCCAUCGGUGCAGCCCUAGAAAAGACAAAAAAGAAAAAAAAAUAUAUAUAUAUAUAACUUCAAUCCUUUCCCACCAAAGUAAACUAAAAAUAAAUAUUCUGGGGGUGUGAUGCUAGUCGGGGAAAUGAGGAUUCUCCAGGAAUCAAGCUUUCUCUCCCUGCUUCCUUCGCCUCUCAGGUUUCUGUCCCUGCUCCUCCUUGCAAAGCUGCAGGGUCUUUGAAACAUGAAAACCUGCAGACAGGCAGCCCCAGGCAGACACACAGACAAGGAGACCCCACAAUGAGGAGCUGGCCUGACCUCACGAGGGUUCUCUGACUUCCACCUGGAGGGCGAGAGGAGGCCAACACAGCUGGCUGGUCAUGUUCUCAGCGGCACAGGGACCUCAGUGUCUCUGGAAGUGUUUCUGAGUCUUCAGGGGUGGCCCAGGGCUGAAGAGAGGGGAUUGAUGAGGGAUCUAGAGGGUGGAGCCUUGGGAAAGAUGGGGAGGCCGGUGCCAGCUUUACCAGCCAAAUGGAAGUCAAGCCACCACGUGACUCAGAGACUUGCAGAGCGAAUGCCAAUGGCUUCUGUGUCUCCAUGCGUUGGGACCAUCAAUUAAUGAAACCACUGGGCCAGGAAUCAGGAAACCUGAUCAUAUUUCUGCCACAGACACUGACUCUGUGAUUUCCGAUGGAUCACUUUCUCUCCCUGAGCCUCUACCCCUCCCAGCUCUAAUGUUUUGUACAUCCGACUACAUGGACAAGAGAAACCCCAGACAUACUGAUGAAUUAGAGCAGGGGUUGGCAAACUUUUAUUGUAAAAGGCCAGGUUAUUAAUAUUUUCGGCUCCAUGGCCUCUAUAGUCUCUCACAAAUACUCAACUCUGCCUUUGUAGCAUCCAAACACCACAAACAGAACAUAAACCAACGGGCAUGACGGGUCCCAAAACAGCUUUAUUUACAAAAACCAUUGACCAUUGUUUGUUGACCUCUGACCCAGAGCAUUCUGGGCAUAGUGAACCUGGCCUCUGAUCUUCCAAUCAGGGCAAAGGGUAAGGGUGUCUCCAUCCUUUCGAGAGUCCAGCCGUCUUCAGAAGGGAAUCUUACAUUUAAUGAGCACCUGCCCUAUGCUGGGUAAGACUUCCCAUGUACCAUAAGCCUCCAUCAUCAUCAUUGUUAACAACAGCCUGUGUUAAUAACCCCUCCUACAGGUUAAAAAGAGGUGGCUCGUAAAGUUUAGGUAACUGUCCAGGGGUCUCAUGCCUUAGAGUAGAGCCAGGACAAAACUUCAAAGACUUUGAACGGCACGCCACCCUUCACUAAUCCCCCAAAGCAGAUGUCUCUUUGUUCGAAGGCUAUUCGCUGCCCCCCAGUCCCGCCCUCAAAGCAGUUUUCCCUACAUCCACCCAGAGCGGACAGAGAUCUGAGCAAUCAUUCUCCGCACUUUCCUUGCUUCCUCUGCAGAAUUUUCUUUCCCCACUUUUAAAUGUCAUGGAGCGUGAUGCUGACACAAUCAGACAGAAUCCCCAGUCCAGACAGCCCCACAGCCAGGGGAGACACAACUCCAGCACACACUCUCUGGGAUACAAUGGAAAAGUGCAAUUCACUUUAAAUAGAUUCCCAUAAAUAAGCAAUAAAACAGGAACAGCCAUUUGCAGUGAGCAUUUCCAAGGUUUGAUGAGCUAGGAGUUCGGACUAGGGGAGAAACAAAGAGCCUUUUUCAUUAUUUCCCCAUCCCUGCAAUUUUCUUUUACUGCCUGCCGACUUUGAAGGGGAAAAAACAAAUGCAGCUCCCUUAGGGAUGGAGCCUGUGCGCCCAUCACCACAGCAACCUGCCAAAUUCCAGGUCCCACUUGUGCAAGUGUCACUUUGAGAGCUGAGCCUCUGCCCUUCUGCCUCCAACCCUGCUGCUCCGACCCUGGCUGCGACACCUUGCCUUCUCCCUCUGCCAGCCUGUCCUAGGCUUUUGCCAUCAAGGUUCAAAUGUCUGGGGAGAUGAGGUGGACAGACAGGGUGCGAUCUGGGGAAGGGGCGAGGAGGAGGAGAUUGGGAUCUGAGUUUUAUCAAGAUGCAUCUAGAAGUGGAGGGGGUGCCAUCUGGGCUGGGCAUGGUUAGAAAUGUCUUUCCCUUUUUCUCUGACAUCAAACAUAACUUCAUCACUGGGAGAUGACCCUACCUCAAUUUAUAGGAAUGUGGAAAGCCACAGAGGCUGUGGACUGAUAAGAGUUUCCCCUUUGGGUGUGUGUGUGUGUGUGUGUGUGUGUGUGUGUGUGUGUGUGUGUGUGUGUGUGUGUGCACAUCUGCAUCCAUGCAAAAGGUGACAUAGACCUAUAAGUUCAGUCUGUUUGGAGUGAGUCCAAACACGUUCCCCGCCAUGAGUCCCAUGCUCCUCUAGCCUCCCCACAUAGUCUCUCUUUCUUUGUUGACUUUAAAGCAUCUUUCACAUCUCAAUGGGAAGUUUCCCACACUACAACAUCCCACAAUCCAUCCCACUUUUUUGACAACCUCCUGACUUUGCUCCUCACCUUGAAUCCCAGCCAUACUUAAAACCAAAGAAUUAGCUAUAACCAAGAUCUGGUUUUUCUACUAAUAUCAAGCCACUCUUUCCAUAUACUGAAACUUACUGCCCUUUUUAGGACUAUUUAGCGAGUGUGGAAUCCCAGCAGAGUGGCUGCUCACUGAUGCCAUCCUCCACAGCCAUGCUGCAGGCCUGUGUUAUAGAUGGGUCCCACAGUUUAGCAUUUGAUUUUACAUUAUCAUAUGUUGUUCUCAAGUUGUUUCAUAUGUGUUAGACUGUUAAGUGUGCUGAGACAAAAAAUACACACAUAGGCAUUACUCAGUCAUCCUCACAGUAACAGCUAGCUAUUGCUGUGUAAGAAAUAAUGCCAAAUGCGGAGUUCCCGUCAUAGCUCAGUGGUUAAGAAAUCUGACUAGGAACCAUGAGGUUGCAGGUUUGAUCCCUGGCCUUGCUCAGUGGGUUAAGGAUCCGAUGUUGCCGUGAGCUGUGGUGUAGGUCACAGACAUGGCUCAGAUCCAGUGUUGCUAUGGCUCUGGCAUAGGCUGGCGGCUACAGCUCUGAUUAGACCCCUAGCCUGGGAACCUCCAUAUGCCACGGGUGCGGCCCUAGAAAAGACAAAAAACAAAACAAAACAAAAUGAAAUAAUGCCAAAUUCAGUGGCUACACAUUUCUUAUUACCUACCUACUUAUGUGUCAGCUGGGCGAAUUUGCUCACCUGAGCCAGGCUCAGUUGAACUUCGCUGGACCCAGUCACCUGUCUGUAGUCACCUGGAUGUGACUUGAGAAUGGCUGGUCUUAGAUGGCUUCGCUCCCCUAUCUGGUGGUUGUAUGACUAUUGGCAGGCAUUAUACCCGUGCCUGGAUUAUAGCUGUGCCUGGGUUAUCUGGAUUAUAGCUGUGCCUGGGUUACCUGUCUGCCAGUAUCCAAGCAUGUUGUCACAGGCCUGUACACACAGCAGCAUAACGGCUCCAAGGAGGUGAGUGGAAGCAUGCCCAGCCUCUCAAGGCCUCAGCUCAGAACCAGCAUACCCUCACUUCCCCCACAUUGUAUUGGCCAAAGUAAGACACAAAGCCAGCUCAGAUUCAAGGGAUGAGAAAACAGACUCUACCCAUUGAAAGGAAGAGGUGCAAUGUCACAUGGCAAACCCUCUGGAUCCAGGGAGAGGUGGAGAACUGGGGACAUCUUUGCAGUCAGUCUUCCAUUACCAUCAAUGGAUGGAUCUAUAAGCACAAAAUCCCAAACACAGUUCUGUUGUAAUUAAACCCAUUUAUACAUCCUCAUCCUUCUUUGUACCUAGCUUUGAUCUCUUCCAUGUUUGGCCAUGGCGUGGUCAUCGCAGGACCCAGCUGCAGCUCAAGAAGAGAUGACCUCCUUGCUGCCAAGUAGGUCAUCCAGUUGAAUAGGAUCAAGGGAUGAAUUUCAUCUAUCAUUAGAUGAACUAACCAUGAAUUCAUUGGAUGGUAGUGAAUCAAAUAGGAAUCCAAUAAGUUUCAUUACUGCUUGUAAUAAACAAUCAACAAGCAUUCAAAUCAUCUCCAGUCAAAAAUGCUCACCUGAAAACAGGCCAAGGAUCAAGGGGAAGGGGUUUAAAAGGGGCUUCUAUUUCUGGCCAGCCUCUCUCCUCCAUGUUAAGACUCAAUAAUCGUGUGACUUCAAGAUUUUCUGCAGUCCAUAGAGUUCCUGUUGUGGCUCAGUGGUGGCAAAUCCAACUAGUAUCCAUGAGGAUGAGGGUUCGAUCCCUGGCCUUGCUCAGUGGGUAAAGGAUCCUGUGUUGCCAUGAGCUGUGGUGUAGGUCGCAGACAUGGCUCAGAUCCCACAUUGCUGUAGCUGUGGCAUAGGUCAGCAGCUGUAGCUCCAAUUCAACCCCUAGCCUGGGAACUUCCAUAUGCCAUGGU